AGUGAACGCUGGCGGUAGGCCUAACACAUGCAAGUCGAACGGCAGCACAGUAAGAGCUUGCUCUUACGGGUGGCGAGUGGCGGACGGGUGAGGAAUACAUCGGAAUCUACUUUUUCGUGGGGGAUAACGUAGGGAAACUUACGCUAAUACCGCAUACGACCUACGGGUGAAAGCAGGGGAUCUUCGGACCUUGCGCGAUUGAAUGAGCCGAUGUCGGAUUAGCUAGUUGGCGGGGUAAAGGCCCACCAAGGCGACGAUCCGUAGCUGGUCUGAGAGGAUGAUCAGCCCAACUGGAACUGAGACACGGUCCAGACUCCUAAGGGAGGCAGCAGUGGGGAAUAUUGGACAAAGGGCGCAAGCCUGAUCCAGCCAUACCGCGUGGGUGAAGAAGGCCUUCGGGUUGUAAAGCCCUUUUGUUGGGAAAGAAAAGCAGCAGGUUAAUACCCCGCUGUUCUGACGGUAACCAAAGAAUAAGCACCGGCUAACUUCGUG
Molecule: ribosomal RNA, 492 nt
Filed under: uncultured bacterium
Lineage: Bacteria
Description: partial 16S ribosomal RNA
Rfam family: Bacterial small subunit ribosomal RNA
Source: RNAcentral